GACGAACGCUGGCGGCGUGCCUAAUACAUGCAAGUCGAACGCAUUUUCUUUCACCGUAGCUUGCUACACCGAAAGAAAAUGAGUGGCGAACGGGUGAGUAACACGUGGGUAACCUGCCCAUCAGCGGGGGAUAACACUCGGAAACAGGUGCUAAUACCGCAUAAUUCCAUUUACUGCAUGGUAGAUGGAUGAAAGGCGCUUUUGCGUCACUGAUGGAUGGACCCGCGGUGCAUUAGCUAGUUGGUGGGGUAACGGCCUACCAAGGCUGCGAUGCAUAGCCGACCUGAGAGGGUGAUCGGCCACACUGGGACUGAGACACGGCCCAGACUCCUACGGGAGGCAGCAGUAGGGAAUCUUCGGCAAUGGACGCAAGUCUGACCGAGCAACGCCGCGUGAGUGAAGAAGGUUUUCGGAUCGUAAAACUCUGUUGUUAGAAAAGAACAAGGAUGAGAGUGGAAAGUUCAUCCCUUGACGGUAUCUAACCAGAAAGCCACGGCUAACUACGUG
RNAcentral lists this ribosomal RNA (507 nucleotides) under uncultured bacterium. RNAcentral describes it as "partial 16S ribosomal RNA". It matches the Rfam family "Bacterial small subunit ribosomal RNA", at positions 28 to 507 of the family's 1533-position model. The record is from RNAcentral.